This 571-nucleotide ribosomal RNA is filed under the name Aspergillus sp. TPL15. RNAcentral's name for it is "eukaryotic LSU rRNA". The stretch from base 189 to 342 matches the Rfam family "5.8S ribosomal RNA". Lineage: Eukaryota; Fungi; Ascomycota; Eurotiomycetes; Eurotiales; Aspergillaceae. The record is from RNAcentral.
GGGGCAUCGCUUGACGUUAUCUGGGUCACCUCCCACCCGUGUCUAUCGUACCUUGUUGCUUCGGCGGGCCCGCCGUUUCGACGGCCGCCGGGGAGGCCCUGCGCCCCCGGGCCCGCGCCCGCCGAAGACCCCAACAUGAACGCUGUUCUGAAAGUAUGCAGUCUGAGUUGAUUAUCGUAAUCAGUUAAAACUUUCAACAACGGAUCUCUUGGUUCCGGCAUCGAUGAAGAACGCAGCGAAAUGCGAUAAGUAAUGUGAAUUGCAGAAUUCAGUGAAUCAUCGAGUCUUUGAACGCACAUUGCGCCCCCUGGUAUUCCGGGGGGCAUGCCUGUCCGAGCGUCAUUGCUGCCCUCAAGCACGGCUUGUGUGUUGGGCCCCCGUCCCCCUCUCCCGGGGGACGGGCCCGAAAGGCAGCGGCGGCACCGCGUCCGGUCCUCGAGCGUAUGGGGCUUUGUCACCUGCUCUGUAGGCCCGGCCGGCGCCAGCCGACACCCAACUUUAUUUUUCUAAGGUUGACCUCGGAUCAGGUAGGGAUACCCGCUGAACUUAAGCAUAUCAAUAAGCGGAGGAA